RNAcentral lists this ribosomal RNA (253 nucleotides) under uncultured bacterium. RNAcentral describes it as "partial 16S ribosomal RNA". It matches the Rfam family "Bacterial small subunit ribosomal RNA", at positions 524 to 776 of the family's 1533-position model. The record is from RNAcentral.
GACGUAGGGCGCGAGCGUUGUCCGGAUUUAUUGGGCGUAAAGAGCUCGUAGGCGGCUUGUCGCGUCGUCCGUGAAAACCUGCGGCUCAACUGCAGGCUGGCGGUCGAUACGGGCAGGCUGGGGUUCGGUAGGGGAGACUGGAAUUCCUGGUGUAGCGGUGAAAUGCGCAGAUAUCAGGAGGAACACCGGUGGCGAAGGCGGGUCUCUGGGCCGAUACUGACGCUGAGGAGCGAAAGCGUGGGGAGCGAACAGG